RNAcentral lists this non-coding RNA (28 nucleotides) under Homo sapiens (human). The record is from RNAcentral. Lineage: Eukaryota; Metazoa; Chordata; Mammalia; Primates; Hominidae.
UGGGAAGUGCUUUGAAGCUUCUCGGUCC